Molecule: non-coding RNA, 31 nt
Filed under: Bacteroides propionicifaciens DSM 19291 = JCM 14649
Lineage: Bacteria; Pseudomonadati; Bacteroidota; Bacteroidia; Bacteroidales; Bacteroidaceae
Description: S4-Bacteroidia ribosomal protein leader
Rfam family: S4-Bacteroidia ribosomal protein leader
Source: RNAcentral
GAUUACACCUUCUUCUCUGUAGUCGCGGCUG